GCUGGGUGGGGUGGCCCAAACCUGUAAUCCCAGCAACUCAGGAGGCUGAGACAGGAGGAUUGUGAGUUCAAAGCCAGCCUCAGUAAUGGUGAGGCACUAAGCAACUCUGUGAGACCCUAUCUCUA
This 125-nucleotide small RNA is filed under the name Marmota monax (woodchuck). Lineage: Eukaryota; Metazoa; Chordata; Mammalia; Rodentia; Sciuridae. The record is from RNAcentral.